This 253-nucleotide ribosomal RNA is filed under the name uncultured bacterium. RNAcentral's name for it is "partial 16S ribosomal RNA". It matches the Rfam family "Bacterial small subunit ribosomal RNA", at positions 524 to 776 of the family's 1533-position model. The record is from RNAcentral.
UACGUAGGGUGCGAGCGUUAAUCGGAAUUACUGGGCGUAAAGCGUGUGCAGGCGGUUUGUUAAGACAGGUGUGAAAUCCCCGGGCUUAACCUGGGAAUUGCGCUUGUUACUGGCAAGCUAGAGUGCGUCAGAGGGAGGUGGAAUUCCACGUGUAGCAGUGAAAUGCGUAGAGAUGUGGAGGAACACCGAUGGCGAAGGCAGCCUCCUGGGAUGACACUGACGCUCAUACACGAAAGCGUGGGGAGCAAACAGG